UACAGGGGGUGCAAACGUUGCUCGGAAUUAUUGGGCGUAAAGCGCACGUAGGCGGUUCGUUAUGUCAGAUGUGAAAGCCCUUGGCUCAACUGAGGAAGUGCAUCUGAAACUGGCGAGCUAGAGUAUGUAAGAGGGUCGCGGAAUUCCCGGUGUAGAGGUGAAAUUCGUAGAUAUCGGGAGGAACACCGGUGGCGAAGGCGGCGACCUGGGGCAGUACUGACGCUGAGGUGCGAAAGCGUGGGGAGCAAACAGG
Molecule: ribosomal RNA, 253 nt
Filed under: uncultured bacterium
Lineage: Bacteria
Description: partial 16S ribosomal RNA
Rfam family: Bacterial small subunit ribosomal RNA
Source: RNAcentral